This 373-nucleotide small RNA is filed under the name Pongo abelii (Sumatran orangutan). RNAcentral describes it as "processed transcript". The record is from RNAcentral. Lineage: Eukaryota; Metazoa; Chordata; Mammalia; Primates; Hominidae.
CAGCCAGAGCUCCAGGUGUCGUUUUCAUUUCUGUGUCCUCUUCCUAGAGGCCCAGCCUGUGUGGCCGUGUGACCUGCAGAUAUUGGGAGAUCCACAGCUAAGACUCCAGGACGCCCUGGAAGCCUAGAAAUGUGACUGUGCAUGACCUGUAGCCGUGUCUGGGGAGCUCUGCACGCGCAAUUCUGCAGUCUCUCCCAGAUUGUGCAAGAACCAUGGGAGGGGCGUCAGGCAUAGAGAUCUUAUGAGAAUGUUUUGGCAUCAAGGUUUUUCUUGGAAUUUUUGUGGGGUGAUGUGUCCUCAGCCACCCUUUAGUUUUUUUCCUGGUCCUAGGUUCCAGUACUGUCUGUGAAUAAACCAAGAUGUCAGUCAUGGC